This 795-nucleotide ribosomal RNA is filed under the name uncultured bacterium. RNAcentral's name for it is "bacterial SSU rRNA". It matches the Rfam family "Bacterial small subunit ribosomal RNA", at positions 8 to 796 of the family's 1533-position model. The record is from RNAcentral.
AGAGUUUGAUCCUGGCUCAGGAUGAACGCUAGCGGCAGGCUUAAUACAUGCAAGUCGAGGGGCAACAGGGGUAGCAAUACCUGCUGGCGACCGGCAAACGGGUGCGCAACACGUACAGAACCUUCCUUUAAGCGGGGGAUAGCCCAUAGAAAUGUGGAUUAAUACCCCAUGGUAUUAUUGUUUGGCAUCAAAUAAUAAUUAAAGAUUUAUCACUUAGAGAUGGCUGUGCGUCUGAUUAGGUAGUUGGUUGGGGGUAAUGGCCCACCAAGCCUUCGAUCAGUAACUGGUGUGAGAGCACGACCAGUCACACGGGCACUGAGACACGGGCCCGACUCCUACGGGAGGCAGCAGUAAGGAAUAUUGGUCAAUGGAGGCAACUCUGAACCAGCCAUGCCGCGUGAAGGAUGAAGGUCCUCUGGAUUGUAAACUUCUUUUAUGUGGGAAGAAAUGCAUUCUUUAUAGAGUGUUUGACGGUACCAUAGGAAUAAGCACCGGCUAACUCCGUGCCAGCAGCCGCGGUAAUACGGAGGGUGCGAGCGUUAUCCGGAUUCACUGGGUUUAAAGGGUGCGUAGGUGGGGAAGUAAGUCAGUGGUGAAAUCUCCGUGCUUAACAUGGAAACUGCCAUUGAUACUAUUUUUCUUGAAUUUUCCGGAGGUUAGCGGAAUAUGUCAUGUAGCGGUGAAAUGCUUAGAUACGACAUAGAACACCAAUUGCGAAGNNAGCUAACUACAGGGAUAUUGACACUGAGGCACGAAAGCGUGGGGAUCAAACAGGAUUAGAUACCCUAGUAGUCC